Molecule: unclassified non-coding RNA, 203 nt
Filed under: Glomeraceae sp.
Lineage: Eukaryota; Fungi; Glomeromycota; Glomeromycetes; Glomerales; Glomeraceae
Description: partial contains 5.8S ribosomal RNA and internal transcribed spacer 2
Rfam family: 5.8S ribosomal RNA (bases 1-71)
Source: RNAcentral
GUGAAUCAUCAAAUUUUUGAACGCAAAUUGCACUCUCUGGUAUUCCGGAGAGUAUGCCUGUUUGAGGGUCAGUUUAAAUAAAAAUCGGUGUGGUUGCUUCCUUGCGUGGUGUCGCACCGGAUUUUUGGCGUCUUGCCUUCGGAUAUGUGACCUAGAGUUUUGCAUGAUUUGUUCGAACGUAUUUAAGUGUUUGUCCGUUCAAU